UACAGAGGUGGCAAGCGUUGUUCGGAAUUACUGGGCGUAAAGGGCGCGUAGGCGGCUUGGUCAGUCCCGUGUGAAAUCCCUCGGCUCAACUGAGGAACUGCACGGGAAACUGCCUGGCUUGAGUUCGGGAGAGGGAAGCGGAAUUCCGGGUGUAGCGGUGAAAUGCGUAGAUAUCGGGAGGAACACCUGUGGCGAAGGCGGCCCCCUGGUUGGAUACUGACGCUGAUACGCGAAAGCGUGGGGAGCAAACAGG
RNAcentral lists this ribosomal RNA (253 nucleotides) under uncultured bacterium. RNAcentral's name for it is "partial 16S ribosomal RNA". It matches the Rfam family "Bacterial small subunit ribosomal RNA", at positions 524 to 776 of the family's 1533-position model. The record is from RNAcentral.